RNAcentral lists this unclassified non-coding RNA (276 nucleotides) under Hevea brasiliensis (rubber tree). Lineage: Eukaryota; Viridiplantae; Streptophyta; Magnoliopsida; Malpighiales; Euphorbiaceae. The record is from RNAcentral.
CCCAGGAAAAAAAAGAACGACAAAUAAUCCCACUUAGCGCUCGCAUAUUGAAAAGUUUGCCAGCAUGUUAACAGUGAUCCAUCAACACACAUAAGAAUAAGACAAAAGGCUCGCUAAUCCUGUAUAUAGCUCAAAACCACCAGCUAUAUAUAUAUAUAUAUAUAACAAAAGCAACAACGACCCACCGACAAAUAAAAUUAACCAUUAAUAACAAUUAAUUCCCAAAAAAAAAGGGAAAUUGACUAACCUCGACGCAAUUGCUGGCGAUUACUCCUG